AGCGUGCAAGUAGACAGUAAUCAUUUGCGGAUCAGCAUACUCCAACAGAUUCGCUGCCGUGUGUCUUCUACCAUCCGGAUCAAAUAUCGUACCACCAACUUUGGUGCCAUGAACAUGUUCGUAGGUGAAACCAUUGUAGGGAGUCACUCCAACCUCCAAAAGACCAUCUAUAAAAGCCGUUUGCCAUCCCUUAAUCUGUGGUUGGAACACCAACUUCUUCUCGACCCACUCGUAAGCAGCUGCGACCUCUUCUCUUACCCAACCAGUUUCCGCCACGAACUCAUCUUCCGCGCGUGAGUAGAAUCCAGCGUUUAGCACCGUUCCUCCUCCGAGCACGCGUGCGCGUGAGUUGAAAACGCCGUCUUCGGAGAUGAAUAGCUGAGACCACGAGUUUGGAGUUGUGUUCAAGAAUGUGUUCAAGAAGUUUCCGAUGUCUGUGGCCGUGGGAUUGUCGUAAGGGGACCCACCACGUUCGAGAACUAAAACAGUAGCGUUUUGGGAUAGCGUUGCGGCUAGUGCACAUCCGGCGGUUCCUCCUCCGAUGACUAUGUAGUCGAAGUGAGAUAACAUUGGUGCUGAUGUAGCAGCAUCUUUCGAAAAACUGUAAUAACCAGCUUCACGAUAGCAAAAGUUCAUUAAUUUUUUAAAGUAUACACAAAUAACCACCUAAAGAUUCAGAAAUGAUUAGUGAAGGAGGUAAUAAUCGUACCUUUGUCGGAAUAACACGAGCCAUGUAAGAUGAAAACUGCGACGCUAAUCAAACGAAAUAAUCGGAAUAUAUGAAAAUCCAUUAUGUUGUAUAUCUUUUUGGCAUCAGAAGACCAGAUUUCAUGCGCUUUAUAUAAUGGUGAAGUGUAUAUUAAUUAUCAACGUUAACUAGAGUUUCUCCUCAAUGAAAAAUUCAUCAAUAAAUUACUAAUAUAAUAAUAUAUUUAAGUUAAAGAAACAAAAAUGUAGCAUAACUGCCUUUUAUUAUUUUUCGAGCGAACUACUCUUUUUUUUUUGAACUAUUUUUUGCAAUAUUUAAAUUUUUUGUGUUUUUUGUUUUUAUGUGGUUUUUACAAACCCACCCUUUGUCUUCUUUGAAAAACUAGCAUGAACAAAGUCAUAGCAUUAUUAUUGGAGGUUUUUAGGGUGAGAUUUUUAUCGGAAUAUAAGAAUUUAUUUUUUAAUUUUUAAUUAAAAAAGCUAAGAACCGGUUUUUAAAUAAAAGUUUUAAGAGCCGGUUCUUAACUUUUUUAGUUAAAAGUUAAGAGACGAGUUCUUAUAUUCUGCUAAAAUCUUUAUUCUAAGAAUCCUCCAACAAUCAUGAUCUGUUACAGUGGUUUUGUCUUCUUCUAAUAUUUAGACUUUUUUUUUAAAUUCUGACACGAUUAAUUUAGUCCACAUACUCAACUUGUCCGUUUCAGAUCAGUUUGGUAAGUAAAUUUCCGUGUAAGAUUUUUGUUUUAUGAUUAGUAAUAUAUGGUCGACUGGGUAUUUUCCUCAAUUUUGUGCAGCGAAAAAAAUUUAAAUUUAAAAAUAAAAUUUUCUUAAUGUUUUAGAUUUUCUUAUUUUUAUACCAAUAUUAUAAUAUUAAUAUUUUAUUUGAACAUAAAAUUAUAAUAAAAUGAAUAAUAUGAUUUAUUUAAAAUUAUAUUUAUAUAGAUUUUUUAUCUAUUUUUUGGUUAAAAUAUAUUAAAUAAACUUGUAUAAAUUAAAAAAAGAUAUUUUUUUAUAAUUAUCAAAAUAUAAAACUAAAUAGAAUCUCUAAAAUUGGUAGAUAUCAAAAAGAAAAAAUGAUAUUAGGAUUAAAAUUUAUAGUUUUUUUACAAUAUUGUAUAAAAUUUGGAAAAUCUUGUUAAUAAUAAAAAUUAUAUGAUUAUAAAAAUAUACUAAAAUAAUAUUUUGAAAUUUGUAAAAUAUUUAUAUUUCUAUUAUUAUAUUAUUUAAUGACAUAUUUGAAUAUAUUUAUUUUAAUGUAAAUUUAUGAGUUAUUACCGUAUUCUAAAGUUUACCAAAAUAUAAAUUUACAUUAAAUGUAAUUUCCAAAUCAUAUUUAUCAUAAGUCAUGUUAUUAAUUCUAACAUGUCAAGUCAUUUUUUUUAGAGAAAGUGAUUGUAGAGAUGACAUGUGUCAAAUCACUUCUCAAAUGUGGGCAAAUUCUCACAAGUAUCACAUUCAUAGUAUCACUUUUCAUCUUUACACUAAACACAAGGGUUUCGAGUUAAGGGGUGAGGUAGGGUUUUUUGAAUGUGAAAUUUAGGAUUCUAAUAAAUAUAUAAAUAAAUACUUAAAAAAAUAUAAAAAGUUCAAAUUUGAAAAAGUAUAAUUCGAAAACAUAUAGAAAAAUAAAUAAUUCGAAAACAUAAAAAAACAAUAUUUUUAUUAUCUUUUAUUAUUUUUUAAGUAAAAAUAUAAUGUUUUUUAUGUUUUUGAAUUAUUAUUAUUAUUAAAAAAUAAUAAUAAUAAUUCGAAAACAUAAACAUUUUAUUUUUAUUAUUUUUUAUUUUUUAUUUUUUAAAUUUUAUUUAUUUAUUUAAAUAAUGAUUUAUUAUAUAUUUAGAGAACAACGGUAUAAGAGUUUUUUGCCACUUAAUGAAGAAGAUAUUUUUGAAAAUGUUCCUUUAGUGGUGGUAAAGAUAAAAAAUGAUAUCAUAAAAGUGGGAUGUUACCGCUAUGAUUAAACUAGUAACUAGAGUUGAAUCCGCGUAUCCGCGUAGAUAUCUUUAUUUUUUUAAUAAUAUUUUAAAUAUAAGAUAAGUUAUAAGAGUGUAUAUUUUAUAUUGGUUUUAGUUUUUAUAUAAUAUAACUUAUAAAAGUAAAUUUUGUAUAUAAGUUUAAAACUUUUAUAUUUGGUGAAAUUUGUUUUUAGUAAAAGUGUACUAUUCAUAUAUUAACCACUUGUGUUGUUUCUUUGUUAGUUUGUUUAUUUAAAAAUGUAACAUUAUAUUAGAAUUUUUUUCUAUGCAUUAAUUUUAUAUGAAUUAUUACUAAUUUUAUCUGAACUUUUGUUUGAAAUUUAAUAUUUUUGAAAUGUUGAUAUGUAGCUAAAUUAAAUUAGUUAAUACUAUAUUUUGUUAACAUAUACAAUACAAAAUCCAUAAAUUAAUACUCGAUAAGUUAAUAAACAUGGUAAAUUAAUAAAUUUUUUGAUCCUAAGUUAGACUGGUACAAAAUAUGACGCAAUCAAUAAGAUAAUAAAAUAGAUUUUGCCAAAAAUAUGACAUUCAUAAUACCAUAAAUCGAUAAACUAAUAUAAACUUAGGGUUUAGAGUUGAGAAGUGAGUAGGGUUUUUGAAAUGUGAAAUUUAGUAUUCUAAUAAAUAUAUAAAUAAAUACUUAAAAAAUGUUUAAAAAAUUAGUUUCAAAAACAAAUUUUGAAAAACAAAUUUGAAAAAAUUAUUUCGAAAAAAAAUUAUAAAAAUUUAGAAUUUGAAAAAGUAUAAUUCGAAAACAUAAUUUUUUAUAUAUAUAUUUUUUUGUUAUUUAUUUAAAUAAUUAUUUAUUAUAUAUAUAAAGACAAAUGUAUAAGAAUCUUUUUGUCUCUUAUGAACAAGGGUACAAGAGUCUUUUCCCCUAUAGUUUAUUCAUUUGAUCAAAUUCAAAUAUCAAAAAAAAAAAUUAAUUUUGUCAAUUCAAGUAUGAUACAUAUUUCUAAAAUUUUGAAAUUAGCAUAUUAUUAUAUGGCGUAUAUUUUAAUUUAAAUGAUACUAAAGUAAAUAAUUUUUUUAAUUUGAAUAUAUAUUAAAUAAGAUUUCUAUUUAUUUAAUUUUAUGAUAAUUUUUGUAUCUUGUUAUAACAAAAAAAAUUCAGUAUAGAACUACAGUUUUUGUAAUUUAUAAUCACUUUUAUUAUAUUGUUAACGUGAUUGUCUACUUUAUUUUAAUAAUAUAAAAUUAAACAAAAAUAUAAAGUAAACAAAAAUGAAAAAAAAAUACACAAACUAUUAUCAAAUCUUUAUUAUUUAAAACUAUUAUUUAUAAAUAUUUUAAUCACAUUAGAUAAUUCCGUAACUUUUAUCUACGGAGAAAAAAAAUAUUUUAUAGAUUUUAAUUAAUUUUAUGAUUAAUUUUGUAAAAAAUAUAGUAUACGUAGAUAAACCAAUUUAUUUUUUUUUUAAAAUCUAGAAACUAUUAUAUUAAUGAUACAUGUCAUAUACAAGGGUUAUUGUCAAUGUUUAUCCAUCCAUUUCACAAUGCUACAUCCUACAUGUUUUACACGUUCACGCGGUUUUUUCUUUUUUUGGUAGAGACCUUUUUUCAUUAGUUGUGAACUAUUUCACCUACCAAUAACUGCAAGUAUAGAUUCAAAAAUGUUAUGCAAUAGUUGCAUCAGAAGUGCAAAACAAAAUUUCUACUAUGUAUCACUUUAAGUAAUUUUAAGGUUUUUGCACAAAUAUUAAAAAAGUACAAAAUCUUAUGUACUUUAUCUUGAUCAUAUAAAAUAACAUUAAAUACAAUCAAUUCAACCAAUAAAAAAAUGUAGUAUUUUGUAAUUGGUCACAAGUUUCAAAUGAUAUUAAAUUUUAUCUAGAAUUAUAAGAAUAUCACUUAUUAUGAAACAAAAUAAAUAUUGUUAACCAUCACUUAAAAUGAUACGGAGGGAGUAAUAAACAUAAGAAUCGGAGUAAUUUCUAUUUUUAUCUUUUUCUUUAACUAAAUUUAUGUUUUAUCCCGAUUCUUGGAUGGGUUAAUAAAUAUUUAUAUUAAAAAAUUUUAAAAAAUUAUAUUUAUCUUAGAGAUACAUUCCAUAUAAAAUGAUGAUGGAACUUGUUCACAAUAAAAUAAAAUAAUGAUGAACUGACCAAAGCCAAUUAUGGGGAUUGUGACGAGGUAUGCUGGUCCAGAAUAUGUGUCAGUGCCUCUGUGGUCAUUAUACACAUUCGUCUUUAACUUCUAAAUGGUGAUCUUUUAAAUUAUUUAGGUUCAUACAUAACAAAAUAUACGAUGUAGACAAAAAAAUAAUCAGCAACUGCAUAUCAUUUUCUGGUCAAGAUUACUAAUAAUUAACAACAUCAGUAAUUGAUGACAAAAAAAAAAAAACAACAUAAGUAAUCACUUUGUUCAUGAACAAAAUACCUUCACAUCUUUCCUGUUCAAAAACAACAUUAUACACUAAAUUGAUGCCAUCAGAAAUCUCUUAUUCUUCAGACGUCGAAGAGGAGUGUUCUCAUUCUCCAGACUUUUGACAAUCAUUAAAAUCUCAUGUUUUUCUUUUUACUUUCUCAGAAAGCCUCCCUCUCUCGAAGAAUCUUCUGUCCCAUAUACCUACACAUUUUAUAACUCUCCAACAAUCACAUCUUAUAUUGAAUAAGUUUGUUUCAUUAGGUUUAUGCAUGUAUUUACCUUCCGAGCAUCAUGAUUGUGGCUUGAAGAUUAGUCCCUGGAGACUUGAGAAACGUGGAUGCAUCGAUGACCUUCAAAGCAUCGAUCCCUAAUACUUUGUAAUCAUUAUCAACCACUUUUCCAACUUGACAACCUCCAUGGUAAUGAUAAAUAGUCAUCGUCGUAUCCAUACAAUACUGCUUCAAAUCAAACGUAGAAGUUAUGUGCCUUGGCCUCAGAUUGAUAGGAAGAGCAAGAAUGAGAUUUAAUAGUCCACGCCCGUUUACUCCAGGGUACUUGUAACUGGAAUAUCCCUUCGAAUCUAUCACAUUUAUGAUAGCACUAAGUCCUUUAACACAGUUAUUCAAAUCCUCUGGGUCUUGGUAGUAGUUGAAUGUCACCGAAGGGUUAUCAUCUGGAUUUGUGUUCCGCAGCUCCAAGUGACCUCGAGAGAGAGGUCCAGACACUUUCUGAAUAAUCACACCCGCUUGUGUCGUCACGUUUAAUCCAAGAUCCAGCGAUUUCAAAAGGUUUGAGAUGGAUUGGCUAGGGAAUUUUAGCUACAUAAUAAAAAAAAAUAGUAUGUGUUAAACCAAAUUUAUAAUAAUUAGGUUAUAUGAAAUCUCUAUAACCUAAUUAAUUACUUACCUUAUUAAGAAGAUCUAAAACGCCAUUGAAGAAGGUACGAGUCAAACUAAUGGAGAGACUUAAGCUACUUCCACCUUCAAUGUAACUAGCAAAGUUAGGUAUCCCAACGACUUGGACAAGGGAUACCUCUACGGGUUUAGGAGAAGGGAUGAAGACCGGGUGCAUUGGGUUAUCACCCAUCCCUUGUCCAACAUUGGGUGGUCUAAGAUGAUAGGAUUCACCCCAUGGACUGCAAGAUGGGCUGCAGGGCCUACACCACUCAGCAUCAAUAGUUGUGGACUUGCGAUGGCGCCCGCUGAUAAGAUCACCUCACUCCUUGCGUCUUGUACCGUAUGUUCAGCUGUGUGGAACACUCCAUUUGCAUCUUGAAAUAUCACCCCAUAUGCCUUGGGCCUUGAGUUCCCUGUAAAACAAAAAUAUUCACAUCCAAAUGAUGAUAGAUAAGAAUUUAUGGUCAUGUUCAACAGAGAAUGGCUGCAAUAAUAAAAUGAUACGUUAUAACUUAGAAACAAGUCAACAACAAAGCUAGUAAUAAUUGAAAGUCGCGAUUUCGAUCUGAAUUGAGAUUUAGUAUUAUAAAAAGAAGUUUCUUUUGUAAAAUUUAAGUUUGUUUAGUUAUUUAUCAUGUCUUCAUCUCUGUUUGAUAUAACAUUUUAUUUAACUUUAAGAUAUAAUUUUAUUUUAUUUAUUUAUGCUAAAUAAUAGUAUAUCAAUUAUUAAAAUGGAUAUAAUUUGUAUAUAGUACGUAAGAACACAGUUAGUUUAAAAUUUGUACCUAUUUUUUUAAUAAGUAUAGGUUCUAUAAAAUAGAUUUGAACCAUUUUUUAAGAUUAAAAUCUACAAAAUACAUAGAUGCACAAAUGUUUAGGAUAAAUAAUUCGCGAUCAAGCAAAACUUCUCUACGGGUAUUAUUUAAAAGUUUUAUUUUUAUUUUUUAAAAACAGAAAAAAAAAAUUAGAUAUUAAAAUAAGCAAACAUCGUUAAAAGUUGUUUAGAUAUGAACGUUUUUGUCUAGAAUGACAUCCUGCUGAUAACGUUUUGAUUAAAGAUAUAGUAGUUGCUCAAAAAAAAGAUUAAAGAUAUAGUUUUGAAGGAAAUCUUAAAUACGCUUUAUAUCAAUGUACAAUUGGGAAUUUUUCGUUUAUUUAUGUUUUUUGCAUUUUUAGUUAAAGAGUUAUUAAAUAUGAAAUAUUUUGCGUCUAGCAUAUAUAGUUUUGCAGCUUUUGCUAUUCUAUAUUUUCUAUGCAAGCUAGAAAAUAAGAAAAGUUUAAGAAUGAACCCAUCUUCAUACAAAAUAUAUGCUAGAACCUAGUACAAAAAAUAUCAUGACGGUGUGCGAUUUAUGUAAUACUCGCAUUCUUAAUUUAUAGAGUCAAGUCCACUUAUGAAGUUAUCUUGAACAUGUCAAUUUCGUAUGAUAACUUAGUCCGACCUUUAAGUUGUUAAUAAAAUUGUCAAUAUAUCUUUUUGGUAGGAUAUUUUAAUGCAAAAAGUUAAUAAGAAUAAUAUGAGAAUAUUUGUUUCCUUAAUUUAAAUAAAUUAUUUCAUUAAUUAAAUUAAAUGGCAAUGACAUACUUGUAAUAUUAGAAGAAAAUCAAGAGAAUGUCAAAAAAUGUAUUCCAGUUUUAAUAGUAUAGAUUAUUCUUUAGUUUAUUGCUUAAAAAUAUAAUAUUAUAUAACAUUUUCAUGCUACAAUAUUUUUCAACAAUAUAUGUUCUCAUUAAAUAUAAUGAUACAUUAUUAGCAUAUCUAAAAUCUAACUAAUGAAUAAAUUAAAAGUUAAUAAAUUAAGGAAGUGUUAAAAAAAAUAUUUGUUUUCUAUAAUUUGUUUUUUCUUUCCGACUAGAUAUUUUUAUUCUGAAAGGAACAUGUCAACUACAAACACAAGUUGUAUCAUAAUUAAACAGAAGAUUAGUUACGUGUAUCCUACGCCAUCUCUCUCGCCCUUCCUAACCCUCACGAGUCACGAGACAUCCCGUCAGAGUCAUAAAUCACGAAGACAUGCAUUAAUUUUAGUUUGACAUCGCAUGCAUGCAAUGAAUACAAAUCAAUAUUAUACCUUUAGUGGUGAAGAGGAUUUUAUGGACAGAAGCGUGCAAGUAGACAACAAUCGUAUUCGGAUUAGCAUAUUCCAACAAAUCAGCCGCCGUGUGUCUAUGACCAUCCGUAUCAAAUGUCGUACCACCAACUUUGGUCCCAUGAACAUGUUCGUAGGUGAAACCAUUGUAGGGAGUCACUCCAACCUCCAAAAGACCAUCUAUAAACGCCGUUUGCCAUCCCUUAAUCUGUGGUUCGAACACCAACUUCUUCUCGACCCACUCGUAAGCAGCUUC
This 8287-nucleotide long non-coding RNA is filed under the name Brassica napus (rape). RNAcentral's name for it is "long non-coding RNA (BNAP_LNC021949)". The stretch from base 1149 to 1273 matches the Rfam family "MIR9563 microRNA precursor family". Lineage: Eukaryota; Viridiplantae; Streptophyta; Magnoliopsida; Brassicales; Brassicaceae. The record is from RNAcentral.